Molecule: ribosomal RNA, 496 nt
Filed under: uncultured bacterium
Lineage: Bacteria
Description: partial 16S ribosomal RNA
Rfam family: Bacterial small subunit ribosomal RNA
Source: RNAcentral
AUUGAACGCUGGCGGAAUGCUUUACACAUGCAAGUCGAACGGUAGAGGGGGCAACCCCUCGAGAGUGGCGAACGGGUGAGUAAUAUAUCGGAACGUGCCCAGUCGUGGGGGAUAACGUAGCGAAAGUUACGCUAAUACCGCAUACGAUCUAAGGAUGAAAGCGGGGGAUCGCAAGACCUCGCGCGAUUGGAGCGGCCGAUAUCGGAUUAGGUAGUUGGUGGGGUAAAGGCUCACCAAGCCAACGAUCUGUAGCUGGUCUGAGAGGACGACCAGCCACACUGGAACUGAGACACGGUCCAGACUCCUACGGGAGGCAGCAGUGGGGAAUUUUGGACAAUGGACGCAAGUCUGAUCCAGCCAUUCCGCGUGCAGGAUGAAGGCCCUCGGGUUGUAAACUGCUUUUGUACGGAACGAAAAGGUCUCUCUUAAUACGGGGGGCUCAUGACGGUACCGUAAGAAUAUGCACCGGCUAACUACGUGCCAGCAGCCGCCGCCG